AUUAAACGCUGGCGGCAUGCCUUACACAUGCAAGUCGAACGGCAGCACGGGGUGGUAACACUCUGGUGGCGAGUGGCGGACGGGUGAGUAAAGCAUCGGAACGUGCCCUGGAAUGGGGGAGUAACGUAGCGAAAGUUACGCUAAUACCGCAUAUUCUGUGAGCAGGAAAGACAGGGGAUCGCAAGACCUUGCGUUCGAGGAGCGGCCGAUGUCGGAUUAGCUAGUUGGUGGGGUAAAGGCCUACCAAGGCGACGAUCCGUAGCGGGUCUGAGAGGAUGAUCCGCCACACUGGGACUGAGACACGGCCCAGACUCCUACGGGAGGCAGCAGUGGGGAAUUUUGGACAAUGGGCGCAAGCCUGAUCCAGCCAUGCCGCGUG
Molecule: ribosomal RNA, 379 nt
Filed under: uncultured bacterium
Lineage: Bacteria
Description: bacterial SSU rRNA
Rfam family: Bacterial small subunit ribosomal RNA
Source: RNAcentral